Molecule: ribosomal RNA, 1343 nt
Filed under: uncultured bacterium
Lineage: Bacteria
Description: 16S ribosomal RNA
Rfam family: Bacterial small subunit ribosomal RNA
Source: RNAcentral
GACGAACGCUGGCGGCGUACUUAACACAUGCAAGUCGAACGGAAAGGCCCUGCUUUUGUGGGGUGCUCGAGUGGCGAACGGGUGAGUAACACGUGAGUAACCUGCCCUUGACUUUGGGAUAACUUCAGGAAACUGGGGCUAAUACCGGAUAGGAGCUCCUGCUGCAUGGUGGGGGUUGGAAAGUUUCGGCGGUUGGGGAUGGACUCGCGGCUUAUCAGCUUGUUGGUGGGGUAGUGGCUUACCAAGGCUUUGACGGGUAGCCGGCCUGAGAGGGUGACCGGCCACAUUGGGACUGAGAUACGGCCCAGACUCCUACGGGAGGCAGCAGUGGGGAAUAUUGCACAAUGGGCGGAAGCCUGAUGCAGCAACGCCGCGUGCGGGAUGACGGCCUUCGGGUUGUAAACCGCUUUCGCCUGUGACGAAGCGUGAGUGACGGUAAUGGGUAAAGAAGCACCGGCUAACUACGUGCCAGCAGCCGUGGUGAUACGUAGGGUGCGAGCGUUGUCCGGAUUUAUUGGGCGUAAAGGGCUCGUAGGUGGUUGAUCGCGUCGGAAGUGUAAUCUUGGGGCUUAACCCUGAGCGUGCUUUCGAUACGGGUUGACUUGAGGAAGGUAGGGGAGAAUGGAAUUCCUGGUGGAGCGGUGGAAUGCGCAGAUAUCAGGAGGAACACCAGUGGCGAAGGCGGUUCUCUGGGCCUUUCCUGACGCUGAGGAGCGAAAGCGUGGGGAGCGAACAGGCUUAGAUACCCUGGUAGUCCACGCUGUAAACGGUGGGUACUAGGUGUGGGGUCCAUUCCACGGGUUCCGUGCCGUAGCUAACGCUUUAAGUACCCCGCCUGGGGAGUACGGCCGCAAGGCUAAAACUCAAAGGAAUUGACGGGGCCCCGCACAAGCGGCGGAGCAUGCGGAUUAAUUCGAUGCAACGCGUAGAACCUUACCUGGGUUUGACAUGGAUCGGGAGUGCUCAGAGAUGGGUGUGCCUCUUUUGGGGUCGGUUCACAGGUGGUGCAUGGCUGUCGUCAGCUCGUGUCGUGAGAUGUUGGGUUAAGUCCCGCAACGAGCGCAACCCUUGUUCACUGUUGCCAGCACGUUAUGGUGGGGACUCAGUGGAGACCGCCGGGGUCAACUCGGAGGAAGGUGGGGAUGACGUCAAGUCAUCAUGCCCCUUAUGUCCAGGGCUUCACGCAUGCUACAAUGGCUGGUACAGAGAGUGGCGAGCCUGUGAGGGUGAGCGAAUCUCGGAAAGCCGGUCUCAGUUCGGAUUGGGGUCUGCAACUCGACCUCAUGAAGUCGGAGUCGCUAGUAAUCGCAGAUCAGCAACGCUGCGGUGAAUACGUUCCCGGG